This 339-nucleotide unclassified non-coding RNA is filed under the name soil metagenome. RNAcentral describes it as "partial contains 5.8S ribosomal RNA, internal transcribed spacer 2, and large subunit ribosomal RNA". The stretch from base 1 to 120 matches the Rfam family "5.8S ribosomal RNA", at positions 35 to 154 of the family's 154-position model. The record is from RNAcentral.
GAUGAAGAACGCAGCGAAAUGCGAUACGUAGUGUGAAUUGCAGAAUUCAGUGAAUCAUCGAAUCUUUGAACGCACAUUGCACCUCUCGGUAUUCCGGGAGGUAUGCCUGUUCGAGCGUCAUUUGUACCCUCAAGCUCUGCUUGGUGUUGGGUGUUUGUUCCGCCUCUGUGUGUGAACUCGCCUCAAAACAAUUGGCAGCCGGCGUACUUGUUUCGGAGCGCAGCACAUUUUGCGAUCCAGAUCAACGUACAGCGGCAUCCAAGAAGCCUUAUUUAACGCUCUUGACCUCGGAUCAGGUAGGGAUACCCGCUGAACUUAAGCAUAUCAAUAUGCGGAGGA